RNAcentral lists this long non-coding RNA (1191 nucleotides) under Macaca mulatta (Rhesus monkey). RNAcentral describes it as "lncRNA (ENSMMUG00000055438.1)". The record is from RNAcentral. Lineage: Eukaryota; Metazoa; Chordata; Mammalia; Primates; Cercopithecidae.
CAGUCGCACGUAGAGGGGGGCUCCUGGCCUCCUUGCUGCUUCCUACCUACCUAGACCCCACAGAGAGGGUGGUGGGAUGAGGCAGGGGGCAGAUCUGGAGGAAAUGUUUCUGAAAACAGAUCUAGGGCUUGUGCAGCAAGAACUCAGCAUUCUACUUGCUGUCCUGUAGGGACAGCCUAGUGCCUGGUUUUGUCUUUGGGAGUCCCUGGCGCCCAGCGGUCUGCCUCUAACCAGGGUUCUGUCUCUAAAGGAUCUUUCCCGCCAUGCCGAUGCCAUAUAUUCCAACGUGAUCAACCUGGCCCCCCAGAAGGAGGAUGACUUUGCUGUCUAUGCCAACAUGCCCCCUUUUCAUCACCCCAGGAGGACAUCGCCAGACCAAGUGGAAUAUGCCUCCAUUGAAUUCCACUGAUGGGAAGCCAACGAGAUGCUCAGAGUGGGGAAAGGGUGCAGAGCAGCCACUAGACUUUUAUGUGGCAAAUAGGAUGGUUAUGCCCAGCCUGAAGCCAGGAUGCGCUUUCUGACUGCCUUGAUUUGUGUUCAACAGCUCCAAAUGCUUAAUGAGGUAGCAAGACAUGUCUCUCUUGGGCAGUACUUCCCACCUGGGGGUAAGUUUGCCACCCUUACCCCCAUCCCAGUGAAUAUUUGCAAUUCCUAAAGGUGUGUUUUGAUUGUCACACCUGGGUGGGGAAAAUGCUACUGGCAUCUAAUGCAUAGAGGGCAGUAAUGCUGCUAAAUAUCUUUCAACGCACAGGACAGAGCCCCACAAAAAAGCGUUAUCCAGCCCCAAAUGUCCAUCACACUGCUGCUGAGAAAACCUACUGCAGGAUCUUCCUGGGCUUCACAGGUAAGCUUGCCUUUAUUCUGGCUUCUGUAGAUAUCUAAAAUAAAGAUACUGCCCAGGCCCUCAAUGUCCCAAGCCAGGGCUCAAGGCAAUUCCAAUAACAGUAGAAUGAACACUAAACAUUGAUUUCAAAAUCUCAGCAACUAGAAGAGUGACCAACCCUCCUGGCUGACCUGGGACCAUCCUAGUUUUAGCAUUGAAAGUUUCAGGUUCCAGGAAAGCCCUCAGGCCUGGGCUGCUGGUCACCCUAGCAGUUGAGGGACUCUUCACUACAGAAUUAGUCUCUAUGGGUUUUGGGCAAGCAACUGCCCUUCUCAGUUAGGAUGGGGGAAUUCUGGACAUCUCCAGCU